Gammaproteobacteria bacterium is the source of this 105-nucleotide non-coding RNA. NCBI's taxonomy places the organism in Bacteria, Pseudomonadati, Pseudomonadota, Gammaproteobacteria. The record is from Rfam.
AAGAGCCGUGUGUGGGAAAACUACAAGCACGGUUCUGUGGGAGCUUUCAUAACAAGUGAACUUAAAAUUAAUUUUAUGGAGUACAAGUUAUAAAUUCUACCCGAC